AACCUGCGGAAGGAUCAUUAUUGAAUUAAUGUAGAGUUUGGUUGUAGCUGGCUCCUAAUUAAACUUGGGGGCAUGUGCACACCUUUCUCUUUCAUCCCAUACACACCUGUGCACCUGUGAGACAGAUGUUUUGUGGGGGGGAAGGAACUUUAUUGGACCUUCUACUCCCCCUUGACUUCUGUCUACUUAAUUCAUAUAAACUCAAUUUAUUUUAAAACGGAUGUAAUGGAUGUAACACAUCUAAUACUAAGUUUCAACAACGGAUCUCUUGGCUCUCGCAUCGAUGAAGAACGCAGCGAAAUGCGAUAAGUAAUGUGAAUUGCAGAAUUCAGUGAAUCAUCGAAUCUUUGAACGCACCUUGCGCUCCUUGGUAUUCCUUGGAGCAUGCCUGUUUGAGUAUCAUGAAAUCUUCAAAGUCAAACCUUUUGUUAAUUCAAUUGGUUCUGCUUUGGUAUUGGAGGAUUAUUGCAGCUUCACACCUGCUCCUCUUUGUGCAUUAGCUGGAUCUCAGUGUUAUGCUUGGUUCCACUCAGCGUGAUAAGUUAUCUAUCGCUGAGGACACCCUGUUAAAAAGGGGUGGCCAAGGUAAAUGCAGAUGAACCGCUUCUAAUAGUCCAUUGACUUGGACAAUAUCUAAUUUAUGAUCUGAUCUCAAA
This 656-nucleotide ribosomal RNA is filed under the name Rhizoctonia solani. Its description in RNAcentral is "eukaryotic LSU rRNA". The stretch from base 249 to 402 matches the Rfam family "5.8S ribosomal RNA". Lineage: Eukaryota; Fungi; Basidiomycota; Agaricomycetes; Cantharellales; Ceratobasidiaceae. The record is from RNAcentral.